GCGGCUAGCUCAGUCGGUAGAGCAUGAGACUCUUAAUCUCAGGGUAGUGGGUCCGAGUCCCACGUCGGGCG
Molecule: non-coding RNA, 71 nt
Organism: Schistosoma mansoni
Lineage: Eukaryota; Metazoa; Platyhelminthes; Trematoda; Strigeidida; Schistosomatidae
Source: Rfam